This 242-nucleotide ribosomal RNA is filed under the name uncultured bacterium. RNAcentral's name for it is "partial 16S ribosomal RNA". It matches the Rfam family "Bacterial small subunit ribosomal RNA", at positions 100 to 334 of the family's 1533-position model. The record is from RNAcentral.
GGACGGGUGAGUAACACGUAGGCAACCUGCCUUGGGGACUGGGAUAACGGCCGGAAACGGCAGCUAAAACCGGAUACGAAACUUUGACGCCUGUUGAAGUUUGGAAACACGGAGCAAUCUGUGACCCCGAAGAUGGGCCUGCGGCGCAUUAGCUAGUUGGUGAGGUAACGGCUCACCAAGGCGACGAUGCGUAGCCGACCUGAGAGGGUGAACGGCCACACUGGGACUGAGACACGGCCCAG